This 215-nucleotide ribosomal RNA is filed under the name uncultured bacterium. RNAcentral describes it as "partial 16S ribosomal RNA". It matches the Rfam family "Bacterial small subunit ribosomal RNA", at positions 324 to 530 of the family's 1533-position model. The record is from RNAcentral.
ACUAGUGAUUACUCCUACGGAGGCAGCAGUGGGGAAUAUUGGACAAUGGGGGCAACCCUGAUCCAGCCAUGCCGCGUGUGUGAAGAAGGCCUUUUGGUUGUAAAGCACUUUAAGCAGUGAAGAAGACUCCAUGGUUAAUACCCAUGGACGAUGACAUUAGCUGCAGAAUAAGCACCGGCUAACUCUGUGCCAGCAGCCGCGGUAAUAAUCCCGCG